RNAcentral lists this ribosomal RNA (253 nucleotides) under uncultured bacterium. RNAcentral describes it as "partial 16S ribosomal RNA". It matches the Rfam family "Bacterial small subunit ribosomal RNA", at positions 524 to 776 of the family's 1533-position model. The record is from RNAcentral.
UACGUAGGGGGCAAGCGUUGUCCGGAUUUAUUGGGCGUAAAGAGCGUGUAGGCGGUUUGGUAGGUCCGCUGUGAAAACUCGAGGCUCAACCUCGAGACGCCGGUGGAAACCAUCAGACUAGAGUCCGGAAGAGGAGAGUGGAAUUCCAGGUGUAGCGGUGAAAUGCGUAGAUAUCUGGAGGAACACCGGUGGCGAAGGCGGCGUUCUGGACUGCAACUGACACUGAGGAACGAAAGCCAGGGGAGCAAACGGG